This 301-nucleotide ribosomal RNA is filed under the name uncultured bacterium. RNAcentral's name for it is "partial 16S ribosomal RNA". It matches the Rfam family "Bacterial small subunit ribosomal RNA", at positions 509 to 807 of the family's 1533-position model. The record is from RNAcentral.
CAGCCGCCACGGGAAUACGGAGGGUGCAAGCGUUAAUCGGAAUUACUGGGCGUAAAGCGUGCGUAGGUGGUGGUUUAAGUCCGUUGUGAAAGCCCUGGGCUCAACCUGGGAAUUGCAGUGGAUACUGGGUCACUAGAGUGUGGUAGAGGAUAGUGGAAUUUCCGGUGUAGCAGUGAAAUGCGUAGAGAUCGGAAGGAACAUCUGUGGCGAAGGCGACUAUCUGGGCCAACACUGACACUGAGGCACGAAAGCGUGGGGAGCAAACAGGAUUAGAUACCCCAGUAGUCCCUGUCUCUUAUAC